This 608-nucleotide ribosomal RNA is filed under the name Trypanosoma lewisi. RNAcentral describes it as "9S ribosomal RNA". It matches the Rfam family "Trypanosomatid mitochondrial small subunit ribosomal RNA". Lineage: Eukaryota; Euglenozoa; Kinetoplastea; Trypanosomatida; Trypanosomatidae. The record is from RNAcentral.
GAGUCUGUUGUUAUUAUUCAUAUUAAUUUUUUUAAAAGUUUUAAUUUUUUAUUUUAGUUUAUUUAAUUUAAAAAGGUAUAAUAAAUUUUAGGAAUAGAUAAUAAUAAUUUAUAAUUUUGAUUAGAUGUGUUUGUUAAUGCUAUAAAAUGGGUGUGGAAAUAUUUGUAAAAUCUAUUAUAUAAUAAUAAUAAUAAAUUACAUUAAAUUAUUAGUCAGAAAUGGAUGCCAGCCGUUGCGGUAAUUUCUAUGCUUUUAAAUAUUAUACAUUUAUCAAAUAAAAUUGUUAAUACCAAAUUUUAACCAAAAAAAAAUCAUUGUUGCCUUUAUUUGUUUUUAAACACCGUACGGUAUAUGCAAAUAUAAAAUUAUAGUAAUUAUACAUUAUAUUAUAUUAUAUUUAUUCACAUAUUUUACAUAAAAACACUCCAUAAUUUUGACACCAUGAUAAGGCUUUAAUAUUGAAAUUGUAAAUUUUAUAAUCAAAAUUUAUUAUUUAUAUAAAAUAUUAAAAUUUAGAUAAAACAAUAAAUUAAAAAGGUAUUGUUGCCCACCAAUUUUUAUAAUAAAAAUAACGUGCAGUAAUUAAUAUAUUUAUAAAAAUGUAUUUU